UGGGGAAUUUUGGACAAUGGGCGAAAGCCUGAUCCAGCAAUGCCGCGUGUGUGAAGAAGGCCUUCGGGUUGUAAAGCACUUUUGUCCGGAAAGAAAUCCUUGGCUCUAAUACAGUCGGGGGAUGACGGUACCGGAAGAAUAAGCACCGGCUAACUACGUGCCAGCAGCCGCGGUAAUACGUAGGGUGCAAGCGUUAAUCGGAAUUACUGGGCGUAAAGCGUGCGCAGGCGGUUUGCUAAGACCGAUGUGAAAUCCCCGGGCUCAACCUGGGAACUGCAUUGGUGACUGGCAGGCUAGAGUAUGGCAGAGGGGGGUAGAAUUCCACGUGUAGCAGUGAAAUGCGUAGAGAUGUGAGAAUACCGAUGGCGAAGGCAGCCCCCUGGGCCAAUACUGACGCUCAUGCACGAAAGCGUGGGGAGCAAAACAGGAUUAGAUACCCUGGUAGUCCACGCCCUAAACGAUGUCAACUAGUUGUUGGGGAUUCAUUUCCUUAGUAACGUAGCUAACGCGUGAAGUUGACCGCCUGGGGAGUACGGUCGCAAGAUUAAAACUCAAAGGAAUUGACGGGGUCAUAGCUG
Molecule: ribosomal RNA, 578 nt
Filed under: uncultured bacterium
Lineage: Bacteria
Description: partial 16S ribosomal RNA
Rfam family: Bacterial small subunit ribosomal RNA
Source: RNAcentral